RNAcentral lists this ribosomal RNA (253 nucleotides) under uncultured prokaryote. RNAcentral's name for it is "partial 16S ribosomal RNA". It matches the Rfam family "Bacterial small subunit ribosomal RNA", at positions 524 to 776 of the family's 1533-position model. The record is from RNAcentral.
UACGGAGGGUGCAAGCGUUAUCCGGAUUCACUGGGUUUAAAGGGUGCGUAGGAGGGCAGGUAAGUCAGUGGUGAAAUCUCUGGGCUCAACUCAGAAACUGCCGUUGAUACUAUCUGUCUUGAAUAUCGUGGAGGUGAGUGGAAUAUGUCAUGUAGCGGUGAAAUGCUUAGAUAUGACAUAGAACACCGAUUGCGAAGGCAGCUCACUACACGUAUAUUGACUCUGAGGCACGAAAGCGUGGGGAUCAAACAGG